GGCUCGGUGGCUUAGUGUUUAGCACUGUUGCCUCGCACCUCCGUGGUUGGGGGUUCGAAUCCCGCCUUCGCCC
Molecule: non-coding RNA, 73 nt
Organism: Pangasianodon gigas (Mekong giant catfish)
Lineage: Eukaryota; Metazoa; Chordata; Actinopteri; Siluriformes; Pangasiidae
Source: the annotation of a GenBank genome assembly